Molecule: ribosomal RNA, 493 nt
Filed under: uncultured bacterium
Lineage: Bacteria
Description: partial 16S ribosomal RNA
Rfam family: Bacterial small subunit ribosomal RNA
Source: RNAcentral
GACGAACGCUGGCGGCGUGCUUAACACAUGCAAGUCGAACGGAAAGGCCUGCUUUCCCUUGUGGAUUGCGGGUACUCGAGUGGCGAACGGGUGAGUAACACGUGAGUGAUCUGCCCCCAACUUGGGUAUAAGCCUGGGAAACUGGGUCUAAUUCCCGAUAGGACUGCAGGGUGGUGCCUGUGGUGGAAAACGAUUUUCUAGUGGUUGGGGAUGAGCUCGCGGCCUAUCAGCUUGUUGGUGGGGUAAUGGCCUACCAAGGCGGCGACGGGUAGCCGGCCUGGGGGGGUGGACGGACAGGUUGGGAGUGAGAACCGGCCCAGACACAUGCGGGAGGCGGCGGGGGGGAAUAGUGCGCAGGGGGGGGGAGCUUGAGGCGGGGGCCCGGCGUGGGGGAGCACGGCCUGGGGGUUGGAAACUCCUUUCGACCGCGGGGAAGCCCCCUGGUGGAAAGGGUGGGAAGGUAAGUGGUAAAAAAGGCCCGGCUAAAUUCGUG